Cygnus atratus (black swan) is the source of this 1177-nucleotide RNA transcript. It is a transcript of the gene named transmembrane protein 50A, with no coding region annotated. The record is from RefSeq and is a predicted model, not a curated record. Lineage: Eukaryota; Metazoa; Chordata; Aves; Anseriformes; Anatidae. The transcript is spliced from 8 exons.
UGGCACACUCCUGCCCCUGGUGCGCCUGCGCGCGGCAGCCCCGCCCUCGGCGGGGGGGAGCGCGUGAGGGGCCGCGCGUGCGCACAGAGCACCUGGGGCCGGCCGCGGGCCCUCGCUGCUGCCUGCUGCUGUUCCUCAGAGCACUGCAGAAUGUCAGGUCUGCUCGAGAGCGUGAGGUGCUCGGAGUGCGUUGACUGGGGAGAAAAGCGGAACACGAUCGCUUCGGUGGCUGCGGGAGUGCUGGUACGUGCUGCGCUGCCUCUCCUGUGUCGUUCUGCCAGCGAACUGAAAUUCUUUACUGGUUGGUGGAUAAUCAUAGAUGCAGCUGUGAAGUACCCUAAAAUGGAAGACUUCAACCAUUCUUACCAUGCUUGUGGGGUUAUAGCCACAAUUGCUUUCCUAAUGAUCAAUGCAGUGUCUAACGGACAAGUUCGGGGUGACAGUUACAGUGAAGGCUGUCUAGGACAAACAGGUGCUCGGAUUUGGCUGUUCAUUGGUUUUAUGAUGGCUUUUGGAUCUCUGAUUGCCUCUAUGUGGAUCCUUUUUGGAGGCUAUGUUGUUAAAGAAAAAACAGUAGUAUACCCAGGAAUAGCUGUGUUUUUCCAGAAUGCAUUCAUCUUUUUCGGAAUCUUCUGCACAGUGAGGCUGUAGCUCAUGGACCAAAGCCCCUGCUUGUCUCAGCUGAAGUCCUCUGCAAACAGAAACUCCUAAUGAACAUUUAAAUGGAUUUCCAAAACGUGCAGAGCACUGCCCUAACUUCAGAAAAAUCCCAAUGCCGGAACAUUUGCGUUCAGCUCCUUUUUGUGGGAAUUGGACCAUGUGGACAACUCAGACGUUACCAGAACAUCAGGUGAACUUUUUUCUGGAGAAGGGAACCGCUGAAACAUGACAUUAGGAGCUGAUUUGGGUCACUGACGCUGUUUGUGCGAUUUAUGAACGCGACAUAUUUUUCAUCAUUUUCCAGCAAGAAUCGUGCUCAGGCUUUAAGAGUGACUGGGAGCUCCUUCCACCAUUGCACCCCCACCAGAUGAACAGAAACAUAUAUAUAUAUAUUUUUUUUUUUUGAUGUCUGUUACCAAGUCUCCUGGCAGCGUUAACACUCACGGGGAAAAUACUCCAAAAGCUAGGAAUUUAACCGUAUUUUUCCCCCAGGACUCUUCUUAAGAACUACGUACCA